ACGUAGGGUGGGAGCGUUAAUCGGAAUUACUGGGCGUAAAGCGUGCGCAGGCGGAUUGUUAAGCAAGACGUGAAAUCCCCGGGCUUAACCUGGGAAUGGCGCUUGUGACUGGCGGGCUGGAGUACGGCAGAGGGGGGUGGAAUUCCACGUGUAGCAGUGAAAUGCGUAGAGAUCCGGAGGAACACCAGAGGCGAAGGCGACACCCUGGGCCGUACCUGACGCUAAGACGCGACAGCACGGGGAGCGAACGG
Molecule: ribosomal RNA, 251 nt
Filed under: uncultured prokaryote
Description: partial 16S ribosomal RNA
Rfam family: Bacterial small subunit ribosomal RNA
Source: RNAcentral